GACAACAAAAAGAAUGGGCAGCCUCGUCUCUUCUAGAACAACAAAAAAUUCCUAAUUCCUAAGGCUAAGAGCUGGACAGCCGCAUUUUCCAAAAUAUCUCUCACACACACACGCGGAAGAAGAAACAGAGGCGAAAGAACGAGUAGCUGCUAGUCAUUUUUUAGGUUGCUAGCGAGGUCCCUUCCAUGGGCGAUGGCAAAUUCUUCGGUCGAAAGUUCCAUAAUCUUCAAGUUGGUGUAAUUUUAAUUCAAAUUCAUCUAUAAAGGUACCAUUCACUCCUUCCUGUCAUCAUAUUCCUUUGGUUGUGUUGGUUCUCAAGAUUGUAACUUUUCACUCUUUGUUGCUCUAUUGAAUUCUAUUGGAUCUUUGUCUUUUUCUUACUUUUAUGGGAUUUUACAAGGUUGGUAUUCAUUUUUGGUUACCUUUUAUGCCAUGUUUGGUUGUUCUUGAAUUGUUUGGUGAUUGUCACUUGUCAGUGUAAAGAGUUAUGAUGGUUAAAAUUCUGAAAAGCAAGAAUUGAAAAUUGUCAUAUGGGUCGUCUUACUUUUUCCUCACAUUUAUGUGUUUUGUCGUUUUACUUGAGGAUUUUUUGGAAGAACGUGAUUUGUUUGGGAAGGUUUUUUUAGUAUGGAAGUUUUGUAGGCUUGGAUUUAUGCUUGUGUAGCUUGUCUUCCCCUUGUUGAUUCAACCUAAAAUACCAGAUUUCUUGUGCAGUUUUGAAAGCUCCUCGGUAAUUUACUCGCAUGCUACUCGAAUUGGUAAUAGCUGAAUAUGAUUUUGUCACAGUAUAGAAAUUGGGUUGCUAUUCAUCAACUAAACUACGUCAAAUUAGAUUAAAGGGACAUGGGAGUGCAUUUCAUGUGACCCUGUCAUAAUUUUGAUUAAUAAUAAUAAAAUAAGCACGUUGUAAAUCGCGGGUGCAUUUCAUGUAACGCGGUUUGCAAUGCGUACCAAAACGACAAGUAUACGACAUAGUGCCUUGUUCCAGAAAAUAAUUCCAUAAAUAUUAAAGGCGGCUAAUAAGUUAAAAAUGUACCAUAGGCUACAACAUGUAUUAAAAUCAGAUAAUAGGCCAAUUAUGAUAGUUUAAGCGACCGUGCUAGAACCACGGAACUCGGGAAUGUCUAACACCUUCUCCCGGGUUAACAGAAUUCCUUACCCGGAUUUUUGGUUCGCGGACUGUGAUACAGAGUCAUUCUUUCCUCGAUUCAGGAUUUGAACCGGUGACUUGGGACACCAUAAAUUAUCCCAAGUGGCGACUCUGAAUUUGAAUAAAAUAAUCUCAUUUCGAUUGUCAUUUUAAGUUGGAAAAAAACUCCCUUGUCCUACCCUUCCGGGGGUGUAGUGAAAAAGGAGGUGUGACAAUGACUACGCACCUUAAGGGGAGUUUGGAAUGAUUUGGGAAUGUUAGUGAUUGGUGAUCAGGGUCUACGGAUUUAAAUUGAAGUAUGGGCUAUUAUGCGGUAGGAGAUUUGGUAUAACGGAAAAGAGCUGCUCGAAAUGAAGAAAUAUACAACAUAACUUUGAAUUGGAUGGAUGUUGCCGCUCAUUUAAUUGAUAACCACGAGGGGUGGAUGGACUUGUGCAGCUAGAGGGUGAGCUCAGACUCAGGAUAGGUUAUUGAUGACGUAGUGAUUGUAUCUCGUGCAGCAGUGUUGGAAGAUGUCGGCACGUAAAUUCCAUAGGUGGAUUAUCUCCAGUGAGCAGAUUGGCGGUCACAUGGUUGGCGAAGCUUGUGCGAAGAAUUCUAUGGGUUAUACAGCAAAGAGAUCGGUCGUGCGAAUGUGGUUGAUGAUUCAGAGUAUAAAAAGGGGUUUUACAGAAAGAUUUCGAGAAUUUUGGCGGUUGAUUGCGCAAGGUUAUGUCAAUAAGAGAGAGAGAAUCCUGGUGAAUCUCACAGGUGCGUAAUAGUGGCUUCAAGCUAAGUGGGAGAAUCCCACCGCCUAUGAUUGGGUUGCAUGGUUAACUAGUUACGAUGUUUCUGGUUAGUAGCAUAUUGAUGGGUUAUUUCAGCUACGGGAAAGGAACAUAAGUGGUAAUUUGAGCAAAGGGAUUAUUAAAUGUGUGCUAUGGUAGGCCUUGUUGGCUCAUUUUAGACUUGGGAAAGGAUUCAGGAUAUAUGCCUUAUAUAGAUGUGGGUUUCAAGAGAACUAAUUCUGUCGGGUGCUUCGCCGAGAGGGUAUUCAUGUGCUAGAAGAUUCAUAGAGUCGAUUAUAUUCGGGGCCGAGUCAGAGCGGGUGGCUUAUGAGAAGAGGCCCAGAAUAUUCUAUGAUGUUUUGACUUGCAGUGUAGCAUUUGGGAGGUAUGAAAUGGUUCAUGGGAUUUGAGACAGCAUGGUCUCAUGAUUCAAGGUCACUCGGGAUGAGUGCAGAUGGAGUGUGUAUGUAUUGAAUAGAGUUAUUAUUUUUUCUAAGGAAAUCUAGGAUAAAUUGAAAAGAAGAUAGGUUGGUUAGCCAUAGUUGAAUUGGCAUAUUACUGGUAGUGAUCAAUUCCUGCAGCGGGACCAAGUUAUGCAAGUGAUUUGUGACGAUACGUGUGAGGCCGGUCGGCCGCCGUAAGUGAUAUUAUUCAGAAGUAUUCUACUGUUAUGGCCCAUCAUGUGUAGGCGGAUCCCGGAAGGGCUAUGGUGGCUUAGACCACCACUUGGAUAUUUGCAUAUUCCACGGUUAUGAGAAUUCACCUGUGUGUUGCUAUGAUUCUCCUGAAGUGAGUUAAGUGAAAAGUUUUUAUAUGAUGAAGUGUUAAUCAAUUAGUGGUUCCAAAGUUAUGAUGAAGAUCGUGUUCUAUCGUAAAUUGGCAUGUUGGGUGCAGGGAGUGGUAUGGAAUUUGAAGAGAGGAUUAGUGUUGCAGUUCGGUGUUGACAAGGAUGUCACGAGCUCGAAUGAGCAGGAAAGGAGUUUCGAUAUUUAAAGUAAGUUGGUAUUGUCUUCAGCGUCACCUGAGAUCGAUGUUUUGUGAAAAAGGCUUUGCAUCCUGGUUAAGGAUUCUUGAUCGCUUUUCAGUAUUAGUGCGGCCGGUGGUUUGGAUGUACAGACCUGUCAUCUAUUAUGGAAGGUUGUGGGAGUGUGCCCCACGGGAAAGUUGUAUAAGUGUGGCAUGUAGUCACUUGAUCGAUUGAAGAUUUAAACCAAGUAUGAAGAUUAUAGUGAUGUCGUUAAAUUGAGAAUUGAUGCCUGGAGGGCACUCGGUUUAUUGGGUUGGGGACUGUGGAGGAUUACUCCGGUUAUGAUGGUUGUUCUUGUGUUUUAUGAGAAAAGGGGAGUUAUUAUGGACCUUUGAAAGGUUAUUAGCUUAGUUCAGUGCGAUCAGAUCAGCUUGAGGUCUGUGGAUGGAUUUAAAUAUGAAUAUGGGCUCGAUAUCAGUUAUUUCAUGUAAUGAUAUAUUGCGCCGUGUGAGUUGUGAGACGGCUUGGUGAAUUUCUUAUGUGUUGAGGUUCUACAUAGAGAUGAUGUUAUAUGAGCAGAAUGGCUCUUGAGAUUCAGAUCGUAUAUUGCACCUCAGUUAUGCUUGAGUUGUAGCUUACAGUGCUAUAUGUCUCCCCAGGGAUGGUAUUAUGCACUUAGCGUGCUUGUGACCGACAUUCGGUAUAUUGUUGUUAUGAGCAAUCUGGCACGGUGUGUAUCUCCUUAUGUGAAUUUUAUGGGUGGAUCGGGUUGCACGCCGCCAUGGGUAUGUUGUCUGGAUCGGGUUGCGCACCGCAACAGUGUGAUGUUGAGUACAGUUACCUAUAUCUAUUUUUAUGCAUUUUGUUUCCUAUUUUUCUGAGGAACACUCAUAUUAGUUGUGUGCCCGCAUCGCAUCUAUGAUUUGCGAGCGGGGUGUCUGUUCAAUUAUGUUGACUGUGUUGCAUGUAUGAUUCGCGAACGGGGUAAUUGGAUUUCCUUUCAGAGUUCGUUUCCCUUAUGUAUCAUGUUCGAAUUGGUAGCCUAUUGGCACAUUGUGGCAUCAUAUGAGACUUUUGAUCAUGUUUGGGGUGGCUUAUUACCUGAGCAGUUCAUACUGGGUGAGACGAGAUCAUUGGAUUUAGGAUCAUUGCAAUCUGAUUAUAUGAAGUAUAUUAAGGAGCAAAGACCAUAUUUGGUUUAGAAUGAGGUGAUGGUUACUGUCAAGAGUAUUACCCAAUGAAUUGUUGAUUCGGCAGUUGGUUAUGAAUUUCUAUACAUCUCUUUCAUCGUGGCGGUAUUGUAAGAGUUAGAGCAAGACUUAUAUAUAUAUCAUGAGGUGUAUUGGGAGCAUCAGAUUCGUGGAAUUUCGACUAAUUUGAUCAGAGAAUGUUGUUGUGGUCCUGUGAGUAAAGUGGUGUAAGGUGCGAAUUCGACUAAGGUAUGCAGUCAUGUUUUGGUGUUGCGUGUAGUUAUUGAUACGGUGAGCGUAUGUUGGAAACAGGCCUGGCAUAGAAUUCUGGAUGUUGGAAUUGGGCUCUAAGGCUUAUUUGCUUUAAUAAAAGAGAAUAUCUUCAGAAUUGAUCGAGCUAAUGUGUUCAAUUGAGUUGUGGUAGCACGGGUAGGUGCACGAGGUGUUAAAUAGUGAUUUCAGACUACUUCAGUGUAGUUCUCAUUACAUUCGAGGACGAACAUAUGUUUAAAUGGGAGAGAAUGUAACGACCCGACCGGUUGUUUUGAGCGCUAGCGCAUCGUUUAGCAGUUUGAGGCCAUGAACAGCUUCACUUCAGGUAUUAUGAUUGUACGCAUCGUUGGAAUUGAAUUUCGGAAAGUUCGAAGUUGAUUUGGAAAGAGAAUUCUUAUUUCGGAAGCUUUAAGUUGAAAGAAUUGACUAAGAUUGGAUUUCAGAGUAAACGACCUCGGAAUCGGGAUCUGAAGGUUCCAGUAGGUUUGUAUGAUGAUUUCAGACUUGGGCGUAUGCUCGGAUCGGGUUUUGGAUGAUCCAGGAGCUUUUUGACGCCUAUUGUGGAAUUUAGCAUUUUGGAAGAAAUUCCAUAAGUUUGGUUGAAGUGCAUUUCAGUGUUAUCGAUGUCUGUUUGGGAUUCCGAGUCUGGGAAUAACUCUGUAUGGUGAUUCUGGUAUUGGGAGCACGAUCGGAAGUGAAUUCGGAGGUUCGUGGGUCGUUUUGGACUCAUUUGGCUAAAGAUAGAAAUUUAAAGGUUUUUGAGCAGUUUGACCAGGAGUGGACUUUUUGAUAUCGGGGUCGGAAUCCAAUUCCAGAAGUUGGAGUAGGUCAGUAAUGUCAAAUAUGACUUGUGUGCAAAAUUUGAGGUCAAUCGGACAUGAUUUGAUAAGUUUCGUCAUCGAAUGUAGAAGUUUGAAUUUCUAAAGUUCAUUAAGCUUGGAUUUGAGGUCUUGGAUUGGAGGUCGAUUCAUGAUUUUAGCAUUGUUUGAUAUAAUUUGAGGUCUCGAGCAAGUCCGUAAUGUGUUUUGGGACUGGUUGGUGUGAUUGGAUGGGGUCCCGGGGGCCUCGGGUGAAUUUCAGGUGGUUAACGGAUUGAAUUGGUGUUGGAAAGAAUGGCUGAAGCAGCUGAUAUCUGGUAUGACUGCACCUGUGAAGUUUUUGCCGCAGGUGCGGAGCCGCAAAAACGGCCAAUAGGACGCAGAUGCGGUGGUGAAGGGUGAAGGCUAGGACUGCAGAUGCGGUCAGGUCACCGUAUAAGCGGGACCGUACCUGCAGAAGAAGGAGAGCAGAAGCGGAAAUAGGCUGCUAACCCUGGACCACAGAAGCAGCAAUUGGUCCGCACCUACGGGACUGCAAAAACGGUCAAGAGACCGCAGGUGCGGAAGUGCUGGAGGCAGUAAGUUCUUUUAAAAAUCGAGGGUUGGUCAUUUUUUCCCCAUUUUCAUUUGGUGUGGACGAUUUUGGAGAGCUUCAAGUGGGGCUUUUCAUCAUCAAUGACAAGGUAAGCUAACCCCACCUAUCUUGAGUUAAAUAUAGUGAUUAUGUAUAGAUUUUAGCAGUAAAUUGGUAGAAAUUUGGGGGUUUGAGGAAAACCUAGGAAAUUCGUAUUAUUGGAUUUUGACCACGAUUUUGGGUAUGGAAUUAAGAGAAAAUCAUGUAUUUGAGUUCGUGAGUUCAUGGGUAAACUUUAUCUUUGAGAAAUUUCGGAAUCCGGGCACGUGGGCCCGAGGACAAUUUUGUCAACUUUUCGAUCGGGAUUAGUGUCACGACCCAGAUUUCCCACCCUCGGGAGUCGUGAUGGCGCCUACUAAUGUGAGCUAGGCAAGUCAAUUAUGUGAACAAUUUACUUUUUUUUUACCCAUUUUAUAUUCAUUAACAAUUGCGAAGUAAUAACAUUUAAACAGCGGAAUUUAACAUAAGCAAAAGAAAAAGCAAUAAGCUAGUUGAACAUGAAUCCAAUACAACUGUUUGAGUCUCGACUACCCAAAAUUGGUGUCACAAUUUCACAGACGGUCUAAGAAUACUACAAUUAAAGGUCUGAAAGAAAUAAAUAUAGCAAUGUCUCCGGAAAUACACGAAAGAAACAGGAAUAGUAUAUAGAAGGAGACGCCAAGGCCUGCGAACGUCUGCAAGUCUACCUCGGGUCGCCUGAUGAGCAAGAAUCAGCAAUCCCACUGCAGUUCGAAAUCUACAACACUGAGGUCUACACAAAAGAGUGCAGAGUGUAGUAUCAGCACAACCGACCCCAUGUGCUGGUAAGUGCCUAGCCUAACCUCGGCGAAGUAGUGAUGAGGCUAGGACCUGACUACCAAAUAAACCUGUGCAAUUUAACUAUAUACAACGGAAAAGAAGUACAGAAAGAAAUAGUCAUAUACAAUCAAGUAUGGGAGGGGGAAAACAUGUUGCGGGGAAACAUCGAAUAGUAACAGAAGAGAAAUAAAUAAAUAUGAGGAUCACCAUCAUUUCAAUUGAAAAUAGGAAGGGGAAAUCAUGUUGCGGGGUACAACAAGUAUCAACAGGAAACCAGCAAUUUAGUGUAGAGAAAUCGUAACACAGUUAUCAAUAAAAAUUAGGAAAUCAAAGAAAAGUGCACGGCAUCACCUUUCGUGCUUUUACUCUUUCUCACCAAACAAUACACGGCAUCACCCUUCGUGCUUUAACACUCUCUCACCAAAACAAUACACGGCAUCAUCCUUCGUGCUUUACACUCUUCCUCACCCAAACAACAAUCACAAGGCAAAUAGGGUAAGGGAAUCUAUAAUCUCGAAAUAAAAUCAAGCAACAACAGAAAAUCAGUAAAUAAACGUAAAGGACAACAUAACUCAAUUAUUAGCAAGAAUCAGGGAAAUCAAGGACAAGUGCACGGCAUCACCCUUCGUGCUUUUACACUCGCCCUCACCAUAAGAAUCAAUAUAAUAAGCAUAGAAUGGUACAUCGUGCGGCACGGCAUCACCCUUCGUGCUUUACACUCUUUCCUCACCGUGAAAUCAAUAUAAUAGGCACGGAAUGAUACAUCAUGUAGCACGGCAUCACCCUUCAUGCUUUACACUCUUUCCUCACCAUGAAAUAAAUAUAAUAGGCACGGAAUGGUACAUUGUGCGGCACGGCAUCACCUUCGUGCUUUAACUCUCUUCCUCACCCAAACAACAAUCACAAACAAAGGGGCAGGGGAAUAAACAAAAUAGUAAUAGAGAUCCCGGCAAGGGAACAACAGUUAAAUAAUUAAAUCCCGGCAAGGGAACAACAUCAAUAAUCUCAACAUCCCGGCAAGGGAGAUAAUCAACAAAGCAACAAUAUCCCGGCAAGGAGACAAUUUAUUAACUCUUUCUCUUUCUUUCACUUUUAUUUCAUAAUUCAUUUUACCGCUUGAGCUAAUGCUCCAAAGGGUUCAAUCAUCUCAUAUACUUUCACAAUUCAUAAUAUAACUUGAGCCAAUACUCCAAAGGGUUCAAUCAUCUCAUAUAAUUCCACAAUUCAUAAUAUAACUUGAGCCAAUUCUCCUCGAUGUUCAAAGGUUAUAAUUCCUUCCACAAACUUUCCACAAAAAUUAGAAAUCAUCACCAAGGCAUGAAAGAUACAACGAAAUCAAGAUCUUUAAAAUUUAAGAGUCACGGUCAUGCUAGACACCAACGUAUAGAUACUCGUCACCAUGCAUAUACGUCGUACUCAGCAAUUAUCACAUAGCAAAUAAGACUCAACUCCUAAUCCCUCAAGCUAAGGUUAGACCAAACACUUGCCUAAAAGCCUCGAACACAACUCAAGUUUCAAUUAUAGCUUUACCCCUUGAUUCCUCCGCCAAUUCGCUCGUAUCUAGCAAUAACUUACUUAGUUACAUCAAUAAACGCUAAAUGAAUCAAUUUGAAUGCAUGAAAAUGAGUUCUCCAAAGUUUUACCCAAAAAGUCAAAAUAGCCCUCGGGCCCACGUGGUCAAAACCCGAGGUUCAAACCAAAACACGAUUACCCAUUCCCCCCACGAACUCAAAUAUGUAAUUUGUUUUGAAAUCGGACCUCAAAUCGAGGUCCAAAUCUCCAAUUUUUGAAAACUCCUAAGUUCUACCCAAAACACCCAAUUUACCCAUGAAAAUCAUUGAUUUGAAGUUGAAAUCAUGUUAAAAGAUGUUAAAUAUUGAAGAAAACUAGUUAAAAACGACUUACAAUUGAUUUGGAGAAGAAAGGUUGUUUGAAAAAUCGCCUCUUAUGUUUAUGGGGUUUUGAAAAAUGAAAAUAACUGGAAAUCCCAUCUAUUUAUACCCCUCUCAGACCCCCUGUGCGGACCGCACAAAAUGGACUGCGGCCGCACAGGCCCUGAGGGUAUUGCGGUCCAGUGCCCUGUGCGGACCGCACGAAAUGGACUGCGGCGACACAGUCUCCACCGCACACCGCACAAAAGUGAUCGCAGACUGCACUGGCCCCCUUCCGCGGUCGAACACGUUUUUGUGCAGACCGCACUGGCGGGUUCAGAGACCUGCAACUUCUCGUUUUAAGUCUAAAACAUCCUGAACCUACCUAAACUCACCCGAGCCCUCGGAACUCCAAACCAAGUGCACACAAAACCUCAAAAACAUCAUACGGACUUAUUCGUGUAAUCAAAUCACCAAAAUAACAUCAUGAACAUCAAAUUAAACCUCGAGAUCAAUGAAAUUUCUCAAAACUUCUUUAAACAUCAAUUUUGCAAUUUAAGUCCGAAUCACGUCAAAGACAUCUAUUUUUCACCAAAUUCUACAGAAACGUCUUAAAUCAUAUAUAAGACCUGUACCGGGCGCCGGAACCAAAAAUACGGGCCCGAUACCAUCAUAUUCUAAGCAAAUUUCAUUUCAAAUUUCUUUAAACAAUUUCCUUUAAAUAUUCAUUUCUCGGGCUUGGGACCUCGAAAUUCGAUUCCGAGCAUACGCCCAAGUCCCAUAUUUUCCUAAAGACCCUCUAGGACCGUCAAAUUACGGGUCCGGGUCCGUUUACCCAAAACGUUGAUCGAAGUUAAAUUUAUUCAUUUUACAGUCAAAAUUUAUUAUUUUUCACAUUUAAGCUUUCCGGCUACGCGCCCGGACUGUGCACGCAAAUCAAGGUGGUUCAAAGGGAGGUUUUUAAGGCCUCGGAACGUAGAAUUUUAUUGCAAUGCAAGUAAUGACCUUUUGGGUCAUCACAUUCUCCACAUCUAAAACAAUCGUUCGUCCUCGAACGGACAGAAGAAGGAAGUACCUGAGUCGGGGAAAAGAUGGGGAUAACGACUCCGCAUAUCGGACUCAGACUCCCAGGUCGAUGCCUCAGGAGGAUGACCUUACCACUGAACACAAACAGAAGGAAAACUCUUCGAUCUCAACUUACGAACCUGCCGAUCUAGAAUAGUUAUCGGUUCCUCCUUAUAAGACAAGUCCUUGUCCAAAUGGACAGUGCUGAAAUCUAAUACGUGGGAUGGAUCGUCGUGAUAACCCCGAAGCAUGGACACAUGAAACACUGGAUGCACGGCUGAUAAGCUCGGCGGCAAAGCAAGUCUAUAAGCCACCUCUCGCAAUCGAUCAAGAAUCUCAAACGGGCCAAUGAACCUAGGGCAAAGCUUGCCCUUCUUCCCAAAUCUCAUCAAACCCUUCAUAGGCGACACUCAGAGUAAUACCCGCUCACCGAAGAUAAAAGCCACAUCUUGAACCUUGCGGUCUGCAAAACUCUUUUGCAUGGACUAAGUUGUACAAAGCCUAUCCUGAAUAAUCCUAACCUUGUCCAAGGCCUCCUGAACCAGAUCCGUACCCAACAACCGAGCCUCUCCAGGCUCAAACCAUCCAACCGGAGAUUGACACCGUCUACCAUAUAAAGCCUAAUAAGGAGCCAUUUGAAUACUCGGCUGGUAGUUGUUGUUGUAGGUAAACCCUACUAAAGGCAAAAACUGAUCCCACGGCUCGGAGCAUAUCCUCCAAAAUCUGAAUAGUCCGCUCGGACUGCCCGUCCGUCUGAGGAUGAAAUGUUGUACUCAACUCAACCUGAGUGCCCAACUCUUGCUAAACCGCUCUCCAGAAAUGCGAGGUAAACUGUGUACCUCUGUCCGAAAUGAUAAACACAGGCACACCAUGAAGACGAGCCAUCUCCCGGAUAUAGAUCUCAGCUAACCUCUUGGAUAAAUAGGAGACUGCCAUAGGAAUGAAAUACGUUGACUUGGUCAGCCUAUCAACAAUGACCCAUACUGCGUCGAACUUCUUCCGAGUCUGCGGAAGUUCAAUAAUGAAAUCCAUAGUAACCCGCUCCUACUUCCACUCAGGAAGCUCAAUCCUCUGAAAUAAACCACCAGGCCUCUGAUGCUCAUACUUAACCUGCUGACAAUUCAAACACCGAGCCACAUAUCCAACGAUGUCCUUCAUUCUAUACCACCAAUAAUAUUGCCGCAAAUCCUGGUACAUCUUCGCGGCACCCGAAUAAAUAGAGUACCGAGAACUAUGGGCCUCCUCUAAGAUAAACUCUCGGAGUCCAUCCACAUUAGGCACACAAACCCGACCCUACAAUCUCAAAACUCCAUCAUCAUCUAAGGCAACCUGCUUGGCACCUCCGCAUUGCAUCGUGUCUCUAAGGACACACAAAUGGGGAUCAUCCUACUGCCGAUCACGUAUACGCUCCAAUAAAGAAGAACGAGCGACCGUGCAAGCUAAUACCCGACAAGGCUCAGAAAUAUCCAACCUCACGAAUUGAUUGGCCAAAGCCUGAAUAUCCAAUGCUAGCGGUCUCUCACCGACCGGAAUAUAAGCAAGACUGCCUAUACUGGCUAACUUUCUACUCAAAGCAUCGGCCACCACAUUGUCUUUUCCCGGAUGAUAUAAAAUUGUGAUAUCAUAAUCUUUCAACAACUCCAACCACCUCCUCUACCUCAAAUUCAACUCCUUUUACUUGAACAAAUACUGAAGACUCUUGUGAUCCGUGAACACCUCACAUGCCACGCCAUAUAGAUAAUGCCUCCAAAUCUUCAACACGUGGACAAUGGCUGCCAACUCCAAAUCAUGAACUGGAUAGUUCUUCUCAUGAAUCUUCAACUUCCGCGAAGCAGAGGCAAUGACCUUGCCAUCCUGCAUCAAUACUGCAUCGAGUCCAAUACAAGAUGCAUCACAAUAGACUAUAUAAGGCCUUGAACCUGUGGGCAAUACCAACACCGGUGUCGUAGUCAGAGCUAUCUUGAGCUUCUGAAAGCUCUCCUCACACUCGUCCGACCAUCUGAACUGGGCACCCUUCUGGGUCAACCUAGUCAUCAGGGCUGCGAUAGUUGAGAACCCCACCACGAACCGACGAUAGUAGCCUGCCAAUCCCAAGAAACUCCGAAUCUCUGUAGAUAAUGCUGGUCUAGGCCAGUUCUUGACUGCCUCAAUAUUCUUCGGGUCAACCUGAAUACCCUCCGCUGAUACCACAUGACCCAGGAAUGCAACUGAACUCAACCAGAACUGACACUUCGAGAACUUAGCAUAUAACUGACUAUCCCUCAAGGUUUGAAGAACCACUCUAAGAUGUUGCUCGUGCUCCUCCCAGCUACGGGAAUAUAUUAAAAUAUCAUCAAUGAAGACUAUCAUGAAUGAGUCCAAGUAAGGCCUGAACACUCGGUUCAUCAAAUCCAUAAAAGUUGUUGGGGCAUUUGUCAACCUGAAUGACAUCACCAAGAACUUAUAAUGCCCAUACCGAGUGCAGAAAGCUGUGUUAGGGACAUCGGAUGCCCUAAUCCUCAACUGAUGGUAGCCAGAUCUCAACUCAAUCUUCGAAAAUACUUUGGUACCAUGAAGCUAAUCAAACAAAUAAUCAAUCAUCAGCAAUAGAUACUUAUUCUUGAUUGUAACCUUGUUCAACUGUCGGUAGUCAAUACACAUUCUCAUUGAUCUGUCCUUCUUCUUAACAAACAACACCAGCGCACCCCAAGGUGAAACACUUGGCCUAAGGAAACCNNNNNNNNNNNNNNNNNNNNNNNNNNNNNNNNNNNNNNNNNNNNNNNNNNNNNNNNNNNNNNNNNNNNNNNNNNNNNNNNNNNNNNNNNNNNNNNNNNNNNNNNNNNNNNNNNNNNNNNNNNNNNNNNNNNNNNNNNNNNNNNNNNNNNNNNNNNNNNNNNNNNNNNNNNNNNNNNNNNNNNNNNNNNNNNNNNNNNNNNNNNNNNNNNNNNNNNNNNNNNNNNNNNNNNNNNNNNNNNNNNNNNNNNNNNNNNNNNNNNNNNNNNNNNNNNNNNNNNNNNNNNNNNNNNNNNNNNNNNNNNNNNNNNNNNNNNNNNNNNNNNNNNNNNNNNNNNNNNNNNNNNNNNNNNNNNNNNNNNNNNNNNNNNNNNNNNNNNNNNNNNNNNNNNNNNNNNNNNNNNNNNNNNNNNNNNNNNNNNNNNNNNNNNNNNNNNNNNNNNNNNNNNNNNNNNNNNNNNNNNNNNNNNNNNNNNNNNNNNNNNNNNNNNNNNNNNNNNNNNNNNNNNNNNNNNNNNNNNNNNNNNNNNNNNNNNNNNNNNNNNNNNNNNNNNNNNNNNNNNNNNNNNNNNNNNNNNNNNNNNNNNNNNNNNNNNNNNNNNNNNNNNNNNNNNNNNNNNNNNNNNNCCAGCGCACCCCAAGGUGAAACACUUGGCCUAAGGAAACCCUUCUCAAGCAAGUCUUACAACUAUUUCUUCAACUCUUUCAACUCCGACGGGGUUAUAGGAUACGGCGGAAUAGAAAUGGGUUGAGUGCCCGGAGCCAAAUCAAUGCAAACGUCAAUAUCCCUAUCGAGUGGCAUACUCGGCAGGGCUGAAGGAAAAACCUCAGGGAACUCACGAACAAUGGGCACAGAAUCAGUAGAAGGAACCACAACACUAGAAUCAUCUACAUGUGUCAAAUAAGCCAAACACCCCUUCUCGACCAUACACCGAGCCUUCACAUAAGAGAUAACACUACUGGUAGAAUGACUAGGAGUCCCUCUCCACUCUAAAUGAGGCAACCCGGUAAAUCGAAGGUCACAGUCUUGGCAUGACAAUCCAAGAUCGCGUGGUAAGGUGAUAACCAAGGUGAUAACCAGUCUAUCCCUAAUAUAUCAUCAAAAUCGACCAUGUCCAGAAAUGACAAAUCUACACGAGUCUUAAGACCCCCAAUCACAACUAUACAAGAGCGAUGGACUCGAUCUACCACAAUAGAAUCACUUACCGGUGUAGACACAUAAACAGGAGCACUCAAUAAAUCACUAGGCAUGAUCAGAUAUGGUGCAAAAUAAAACCGAAGCUUCCCUACCAUAAACCAGAACAGUACCUGAACCUCUACCUCUAAUACCUUUACCUCCACCUCUAACAUCUCUACCUCUACCUCUAAUACCUCUACCUUCACCUCUAAUACCGCUACCUCCACCUCCAGCUAACUGAGCGGGCUGGACGAGUCCCUCAGUGAACCUCUUCACUCUCUCUCAUAGUGGGAAGUAUGAUAAGAGCAUGACAUUCCAAGUCGAUGAAUCUGAUCUCGUACUGAAUAACAGUCAUAGAACCCUGCCGGAGACGCUCAAACAGUCUCCGAUAGACCUCUCUCUGAGUGAUGUGGAGAAACUCCUCCAGAAAUAGCUGAGUAAACUGUUCCCAAGUCAAAGCUGGUGAUCCGGCUGGUCUAGCCAAAUAGUAAUCCCUCCACCAAGUCUUGGCAGAUCCAGACGAGCGAAAAGUAGAAAAAUCGACCCCAUUAUUCUCCACGAUCCCCAUAUUCCUAAGAACCUCGUGAUAGCGGCCUAGAUAAUCUUGGGGAUUCUCAGAAGAUGCAUCGCUAAAAGUAGUGGUGAAGAGCUUGGUGAAAAUUAUCCAACCUUUAUAAAGCCUCCAAAGACGUAGCUGAUCAAUCACCGGUCUGUGCUGCUACUCGGCUGAAGAAGCGGUACAUGACCUCGCCAUCCGCGAAAGGACAAGAGUUGGGGUUUCAAUUUAGCACUGAGAGAACAAAAUCGCACGACAGGAAAGAAUGAAUGUAAAGUUUUUCCUAACUCUGUAGCCUCUGGGGAUAAAUACAGACGUCUCUGUACCGAUCCCUCAGACUCUACUAAGCUUGUCUGUGAACUGUGAGACCCAUGUAACCUAGAGCUCUGAUACCAACUUGUCACAACCCGGAUUUUCCACCCUCGGGAGUCGUGAUAGCGCCUACUAAUAUAAGCUAGGCAAGCCAAUUAUGUGAACAAUUUACUUUUUUUUACCCAUUUUAUAUUCAAUAACAAUUGCGAAGUAAUAACAUUUAAACAACAGAAUUUAACAUAAGAGGAAGAAAAAGCAAUAAGCUAGCUGAACAUGAAUCCAAUACAACUAUUUGAGUCUCGACUACCCAGAACUAGUGUCACAGUUUCAUAGACGGUCUAAUAAUACUACAAUUAAAGGUCUAAAAGAAAUAAAUACAACACUGUCUCUGGAAAUACACAAAAGAAAUAGGAAUAGUAGAUAGAAGGAGACGCCAAGGCCUGCGGACGCCUGCAAGACUACCUCAGUUCGCCUGAUGAGCAAGAAUCAGCAAUCCCACUACGGUCCGAAAUCUCCAACACUAGGGUCUGGUAUCAGCACAACCAACCCCAUGUGUUGGUAAGUGCCUAGCCUAACCUCGACGAAGUAGUGACGAGGCUAGGACCAGACUACCAAAUAAACCUGUACAAUUUAACUAUAUACAGCGGAAAAGAAGUACAGAAAGAAAUAGUCAUAUACAGUCAAGUAUGGGAAGGGGAAAACAUGAUGCGGGGAAACAUCAAGUAGUAAUAGAAGAGCAACAAAUAAAUAUGAGGAUCACCACAGUUCAAUUGAAAUAGGAAGGGGAAAUCAUGUUGCGGGGUACAACAAGUAUCAACAAGAAACCAACAAUUUAGUGUAGAGAAAUCGUAAGACAGUUAUCAAUAAAAAUUAGGAAAUCAAAGACAAGUGCAUGGCAUCACCCUUCGUGCUUUUAUUCUCUCUCACCAAACAAUACACGGCAUCACCCUUCGUGCUUUAACACUCUCUCACCAAAACAAUACACGGCAUCAUCCUUCAUAUUUCACGCUCUUCCUCACCCAAACAACAAUCACAAGGCAAAUAGGGUAAGGGAAUCUAUAAUCUCGAAAUAAAAUCAAGAACCAACAGAAAAUAAGUAAAUAAACGUAAAGGACAACAUAACUCAAUUAUCAGCAAGAAUCAGGAAAAUCAGGGACAAGUGCACGGCAUCACCCUUCGUGCUUUUACUUUCGCCAUCACCAUGGGAAUCAAUACAAUAGGCACUGAAUGGUACAUCGUGCGGUACGGCAUCACCCUUCGUGAUUUACACUCUUUCCUCACCAUGAAAUCAAUAUAAUAGGCACGGAAUGGUACAUCGUGUGGCACGGCAUCACCCUUCAUGCUUUACACUCUUUCCUCACCAUGAAAUCAAUAUAAUAGGCACGGAAUGGUACAUCGUGUGGCACAGCAUCACCCUUCGUGCUUUAACUCUCUUCCUCACCCAAACAAUAAUCACAAACAAAGGGGCAAGGGAAUUAAAACAAAAUAGUAAUAGAGAUCCCCGGCAAGGGAANNNNNNNNNNNNNNNNNNNNNNNNNNNNNNNNNNNNNNNNNNNNNNNNNNNNNNNNNNNNNNNNNNNNNNNNNNNNNNNNNNNNNNNNNNNNNNNNNNNNNNNNNNNNNNNNNNNNNNNNNNNNNNNNNNNNNNNNNNNNNNNNNNNNNNNNNNNNNNNNNNNNNNNNNNNNNNNNNNNNNNNNNNNNNNNNNNNNNNNNNNNNNNNNNNNNNNAGGACAAUUUAUUAACUCUUUCUCUUUCUUUCACUUUUAUUUCAUAACUCAUUUUACCGCUUAGGCAAUGCUCCAAAGGGUUCAAUCAUCUCAUAUACUUUUACAAUUCAUAAUAUAACUUGAUCCAAUUCUCCAAAUGGUUCAAUCAUCUCAUAUACUUCCACAAUUCAUAAUAUAACUUGUGUCAAUGCUCAUCGGUGUUCAAAAGUUAUAAUUCCUUCCACAAACUUUCCACAACAAUUAGAAAUCAUCACCAAGGCAUGAAAGAUACAAUGAAAUCAAGAUCUUCAAAAUUUAAAGACGCACGGUCAUGCUAGACACCAACGUAUAGAUACUCGUCACCAUGCCUAUACGUCGUACUCAAUAAUUACCACGUAGCAAAUAAGACUCAAUUCCUAAUCCCUCAAGCUAAGGUUAGACCAAACACUUACCUCAGUACCUCGAACACAACUCAAGUUUCAAUUAUAGCUUUACCCCUUGAUUCUUCUGCUAAUUCACUCGUAUCUAGCUACAAGUUACAUAAUUACAUCAAUAAAUGCUAAAUGAAUCAAUUUGAAUGCAUGAAAAUGAGUUCUCCAAAGUUUUACCCAAAAUGUCAAAAUCGCCCCCGGGCCCACGUGGUCAAAACCCGACGUUCGAACCAAAACACGAUUACCCAUUCCCCCCACGAACUCAAAUAUGUAAUUUGUUUUGAAAUCGGACCUCAAAUUGAGGUCCAAAUCUCCAAUUUUUGAAAACUCCAAGGUUCUACCCAAAACACCCAAUUUACCCAUGAAAAUCAUUGAUUUGAAGUUGAAAUCAUGUUAAAAGAUGUUAAAGAUUGAAGAAAACUAGUUAAAAUGACUUACAAUUGAUUUGGAGAAGAAAGGUUGUUUGAAAAAUCGCCUCUUAUGUUUAUGGGAUUUUGAAAAAUGAAAAUAACUGGAAAUCCCGUCUAUUUAUACCCCUCUCAGACCCCCUGUGCGGACUGCACAAAAUGGACUGCGGCCUCACAGACCUUCCUGAGGGUACUGCGGUCCAGUGCCCUGUGCGGACCGCACGAAAUGGACUGCGACCACACAGGCCUCCACCGCGCACCGCACGAAAGUGACCGUGGACCGCAUUGUCCCCCUUCCGCGGUCGCACACAUUUUUGUGCAGACCGCACUUGCGGGUUCAGAGACCUGCAACUUCUCGUUUUAAGUCUAAAACAUCCCGAACCUACCCGAAACUCACCCGAGCUCUUGGAACUCCAAACCAAGUGCACAUAAAACCUCAAAAACAUCCAACGGACUUAUUUGUGUAAUCAAAUCACCAAAAUAAUAUCAUGAACAUCAAAUUAAACCUCGAGAUCACUGAAAUUUCUCAAAACUUCUUUAAACAUCAAUUUUGCAAUUUAAGUCCGAACCACGUCAAAUGACAUCCGUUUUUCACCAAAUUCAACAAAAACAUCUUAAAUCAUAUAUAAGACCUAUACCGGGCGCCGGAACCAAAAAUACGGGCCCGAUACCAUCAAGUUCUAAGCAAAUUUCAUUUCAAAUUUCUUUAAACAAUUUCAGAAAACAAUUUCCUUUAAAAAUUCGUUUCUUGGGCUUGGGACCUCGAAAUUUGAUUCUGGGCAUAUGCCCAAGUCCCAUAUUUUCCUACGGACCCUCCGGGACCGUCAAAUCAUGGGUCCGGGUCCGUUUACCCAAAAUGUUGACCAAAGUCAAAUUUAUUCAUUCUACAGUCAAAACUUAUCAUUUUUCACAGAUUUUCACAUUUAAGCUUUCCGGCUACAUGCCUGGACUGCACAUGCAAAUCAAGGUGGUUCAAAUUGAGGUUUUUAAGGGCUCAAAACGUAGAAUUUUAUUGCAACUCAAGGGGUUAUCACAAUUAGGAAUUUUUAUAAAUUGGAUUAUAAUGAGUAAUUGAACAUAUACUAAUGGAUUUGCAUAAUUAUUGGCUAGUUUUGGAGCAUUUAGCAUCGAUUCGAGUCUCCGGAAGGGUGUGGAAUGCCGGUUGUGGAUCUUCGACGCAAGGUGAGUCUCCUUUCUAACCUUGUAAGAGGGAAUUGUCCCCAUAGGUGAAAUAAUUGGUUAUGUGCUCCUAUUUGAGGGGGCUACGUACGCACGAGGUGACAAGAGUCCGUGCGUAGCUACUAAUAUGUGUAAGUCUGGGUAGUAUAGGACCUAAAAGCAUGCUAUACUUGGAAUAUCUAUAAUCUUAUUGACAUUGAAUUUCUUAAAUCCUAUUGAAUUGGUAAAUGAAUUUCCAAAAGGAUUGAACUUCAUUUUCUUAAAUCGUUAAAAGAGAAUUAGCUUUUAUUUGGAUAAAUGCUCCCCGAUAAAUUCUUGAUUGGUUGUUUGAGAAUGUAUUUCUAUGUGUACCUGCGUCGCAUGUAUGAUUCGCGAUCAGGAUGAUUGUUUAUUUAAAUUUGACUGCAUCUCAUGUAUGAUUCGCGAGCGUGGUAAUAGAUGCAUCUAUGGUUCGCGUCGUUCGACCCUCGGCAGUGCACAUUUUACAUUUAUGUUGGAUCGGUCGUACGACCUUGGCAUAAUUUCCUCAUGCUUGUAUUGCUUGCCUGGAGAUUUAUUGAUAUUGAUGUUUGCUCUCCCCGACUUGAGAUAAUUGUUAAUUAAUAGAUUAUGAAUCCUGAGACUUUUAAUAUAAAAAGGAACUUUUACCUGUUCGUGACUUACUUGAAAUUACUGUCAUUCUUAAUAAAUCCAUGACUACUCGCAUUAAAAUUAUAUUACUAUUGGACCACUAGUAAAUGUCGAAGUCGACCUCUUGCCUCUACUUCUUCGAGAUUAGACGGGAUACUCAUUGGGUACAUAUUAUUUUCGUACUCAUACUACAUUUGCUGUGCAUUUUUGUUGCACAUGUUUAUGUGUGGCUAGUGGCAUAGCGGCAUGGUUUAUACGGAGACUCAGGCGAGUUGCAUUUAUCGAGAUGACCGUAGCCAGCAGAGUCUCCUUCAGAGUAUUUUCCUGUAUUUUCAUUUCUGUCCAUUUGUAUUCCAGACAGUUACUGUAUUUUAUUUCAUUCCUAGUAAAUGCUCAUGCACUUGUGACACCAGGUUCUGGGAUGAUUAUGGGGUAUCUUGUAUUAACUUCUUAACAUUUAUAUUUGAUUUGAAACGAUUAUCUUUUACUGUUAAAAUUGAAGGAAAAUCAUAGUUUUUAAAAUUAUUAAAACGAGAAUUUAAUUAAGUGUCUUGGUUGGCUUUCCUGACAGCGGUGUCCGGCGUCAUCACGACCCUUAGUAGAUUUUGGGUCGUGACUUACUAUUAGUGAUACAUUUUCUUAAGUCCGUAGAUGAUUUUCUUUAUUAAAAUUUAUUCUUGAGAUUGUAGAGUUUGUUCUUUGGGAACUAUUUCUUGAAGGACGGAUUGAAUGAUACUAUCUUUGAUCCAAAUUUCCUUUCUUGAAUAAUGUCAGGCAUAGAAAGCUGCUCGUGAGCAUUGAUAAUAACUAUUAGAGGAAUAUCAAUAUGUUCCUCUUCAAAGACAAAUUCCUUAACUAAUUCCUCCCCCACAAACUCAACAUCCUCAAGGAACCUCAUAUUAUUAGAAAAAGUAGCCUUAGUAGCGAGAUAAAAAUUCUGAAAAAUUGAGGGGAUAGAAAAUAUUAUUGGACAGAAGUCUGUUAAUUCUCCUUUAGAGAUAUGACCUAAUCUCUCGUAUCAUAAAGAAGUUCUCUACUUAAUGGUUAACUUACCCUUAUUACCAGUUAUGUUAACAUGCAAGGUUCAUUGGACGAAGCAAUCAUAUCAAGUAAGUAUAGAUUAUUGUAACCUGAUAAAGAACCGGGACCAACUAAUUUUGAAUUAUGAAGAGACUAUUUUUUUCAAAAAAAUAAAUAAAAACAAACUAUAGAUUAGGAAAAAAACCAAAUUUCCUUUCUUGAAUAAUAAAAAUAACCAAACUUGUCUAGUACAGAAACAAAAAUCAAAUCCCAUCAAAGAAAUGGUGCAACAUAAGUCUCGUUCAAAUUCAACUAAAACUGGCUCUUAACAAUAAUCUAAAAGUUCCAAUUGCUUCGAAUUCUACCGACUUUCCAUCACAAUCGUAGAUGUAUCUUUCACCAUCAUCAGGCUUUCGAUAGUUUAGGCAACCCUGCAUAGACACAGUGAUGUGAAUUGUUUUACCAGAAUCUAUCCACCAUCUGUGUCUUGGUACUGAAGUCAAAUUAGUCUUAGAACAAAUAAAAUUAAUAGGUGUACCUUUCUUUGCACGCCAUGCGUGAUAGUUGGUACAAUCCUUCUCUGUAUGACCUUCAGCUUUAAAAAAGAAACAAUCAUCUGUCGUUGGUUCCUGAUGUUGUUCCUUUUGUGUUGAUUUAUCUACAACUUUCUUAUUCUUUCUAUUCUUGUCUUUCCUUGUCCUUAGGCACAUCGACUAAGUGAGAACUUUAUAUCUUUUCCCUCUUUAAUCUAUCCUCUUCCUAAACACAGUGUGAGAUGAGCUUAUUUAGAGACCAUGUCUCUUUUUAACAAUUAUAGCUCACCUUAAACUGGCUAAACUGUGGUGGACGGGAUAUCAAAAUCAAAUGAACUAGAUUUUCAACUUAGAAGCAAUAUGAGACAUUUGCAUAUGUACUCCCUGAUGUUACCUUUGCCUUGAUAACUCAUUGAAGUCAGACUUGUCAAGAGUGUACCUGUAAUGACCCAACCGAUCAUUUUGAGUAUUUGCACUUUGUUCGGUAGUUUGAGGGUAUGAGUAGCUUUGUAUGAUGUAUUAUGACUUGUGUGAAUCAUUGAUUUUGGUUUUCAGGUUAUUCUGAAUCGAUAUGGAAGAAUGAAUUUCAUGAUUGAAGCAGUUAGAAGACUUGACUAUGUUUGACUUUUUUAGUAUUUGAUGUCAGUUUGAAGUUUUGGUGAUUCAAUUAGCUCUGAAUGGUGAUUUUAGACUCGUACGUAUGCCCGGACCUGCAUUGGGAUGUUUCUAGAAGGUUUCGGUGCAAAUUGGCGAAAGUUGAAAUUUGAAGGUUUGAAAAGUUCAUAAGUUUGACCGAGAGUUAACUUUGAUGAUGUCAUAUCCGAAUUGCGGUUACGAGAAUUGGAAUAGCUUUGUUAUGUAGUUUGGGAAUUUUAUGCAAAAUUUGGGUUCAUUCUGGGUUGAUUUGAUAUGUUUUGGCACGAGUUUUGAAAGUUGAAAGUCCAAAGUUCAAUUAAGUUUGAAUUGAGGUGGGAUUCGUCGUUUCGAUGUUGUUAUGUGUGAUUUGAGGCCUCGAGUAAGUCCAUGUUACAUUAUGGGACUUGUUGAUAUGUUUGGAUGGUGUCUUGGGACUCGUGUGAGUUUCAGAUAGGUAUGAGUUGUGUUGCGCUCGUUUUUUUAUGUUUCGACGUCGUUUCUUCAAGUAUAAAUGGUACCACAUUAAGCAAAUGAGCUUCAAUAUUUGUUUUGAUUGAAGCAUUAGAUCUAUAUUGUAAUUUUGGA
Molecule: long non-coding RNA, 21417 nt
Filed under: Nicotiana tabacum (common tobacco)
Lineage: Eukaryota; Viridiplantae; Streptophyta; Magnoliopsida; Solanales; Solanaceae
Description: long non-coding RNA (NTAB_LNC004198)
Source: RNAcentral